UCAGACUUUUAUAAAACUCGGUUAGGGGUUUUACCUUCGCUUACCUGGAGAAGUGUUUGGACAGCACGAGGUCUCUUGAAGAAAGGCUUAUGCUGGAAGGUUGGAACAGGUGAUAAAAUUUCAGUAUUGGGGGAUUUGUGGAUUACAGGAAACGAAACAGAUCGUUUGCAGCAUCAUGGAAAUCAAGCAAAUGUCAAGUUAGUAUCAGAUCUAAUUGAAACUAGCAAUAGAAGCUGGAAAAUAGAUGUUGUAAUGACUACCUUUCAACCAAAAAUUGUGAGGAAAAUAUUGCAGAUUCCACUCGCAGAGCUAGCAUACGAGGACUUCCAAGUUUGGAGGGGGAGAUGUCAGGGGAAUUUUCGGUAAGGAGUGCCUAUAAACUAUUACAAGGGACUAGCGAAGAUCCUAGUACUAUUAAUUUACAAAUCGAGACUAAAAACUUUUACAGAAAAUUGUGGAAGCUACACAUCUCUUCAAAAAUUACCUUAACAGUAUGGAGACUAUCUUGGAAUUUCAUUCCUUCACUAGUCAAUCUCAAGCAGAAGAAAGCAGUAGCUAACGCCCUUUGCCCGCGAUGCCGACAAAAUGAGGAAGAUAGUUAUCAUAUUUUUUAGCAGUGCCCUACGAUAAGAGAGGUCUGAAAUCAGUUAAAGCUCUCAUGGAUACUUAAUAGUAAUCAUCAGAAUAUAUGGGAAUGGCUUGCCUGGAUCUUUAGUCAAGGAACGACUGAACAGAUUCGUCUUUUUUGCUGCGGCCUUUGGCUUGUUUGGUUCAAUAGAAAUCGAUUAAUAUAUGAUAAAGUAAAUGUAUCUGGGAAGGGCAUUGCGAAACAGACUUAUAGCUAUAUUUCUGAGUUAAAUGGGAUUAAAGAGAAGAGACUUACCGUUCAGUCUACUGGAAAUGCUGUACAGGAAAGAAGAAGAUCGAGAGUCACAAUCUACUUUGACGCGGCCUUUGAUCAACAGACUUUCAGAUCAGCAUCAGGAUUGUUUGUAAAAGAUGAGAAAGGACGGAUUCUUGCAUCAAAAACGAUCAUUUACUCCAAAAUUGCAAAUCCAUUUUUAGCAAAAGCGCAUGCAGGAUUACAAGCAGUCAAGUUAGGGUUAUUCAUGGGUCUAAAUAAACUGGAAAUUGUGGGAGACUCAAAGACAGUAAUUAAAAAAUGCCAGAACACAGAGAUAGACAAAUCAAACAUCGGUGUGAUCAUCAGAGAUAUUCAGCAUAAGAAAGGCAGAUUUCAAGAGAUAAAGUUCCACUUCAUACCCAACAUAGAAAAUCUUUACGCUCAUACUCUAGCAAAAGAAGUGUUGAAGAGAGGAGUUAGCCAUUACCUGGUAGGAGGGCUUCCAGAUUUUGUUCGACAAGCAUCAGAGGAGAGGAGACCAAGAGAACCAGAUUGAAAGAAAAUGUAGGUGAAGGACUGUUUGAAAAAGGUAGUAGGAAAUCAAUUGCUUCCCUUGGAAACUGCUACCGUCAUAAUGCUGAAGAGGACGUGAAGCGACAACACAUUGAAGCCCCAGUUAGUGAUUUGACUGGAUAAGAUUUAAUUAGGUUAACUAUUUUUUAUUUUAUUUCUGUUUCGAUUUUUUUUUUUUAGGAAUCAUGGACCUGUUUCUUUAGGCCGACCUUGCCUUAUAUGCAGGCUUGAAAUUUUAGUAGGGCUCCUUAUAUGGACUUAGC
Molecule: long non-coding RNA, 1680 nt
Filed under: Gossypium barbadense (sea-island cotton)
Lineage: Eukaryota; Viridiplantae; Streptophyta; Magnoliopsida; Malvales; Malvaceae
Description: long non-coding RNA (GBAR_LNC000537)
Source: RNAcentral